Molecule: long non-coding RNA, 353 nt
Organism: Gallus gallus (chicken)
Lineage: Eukaryota; Metazoa; Chordata; Aves; Galliformes; Phasianidae
Exons: 2
Source: RefSeq, a predicted model, not a curated record
ACCUGAUACUGAGCAACAUCAGAGAAACAGGCAGCUCUGCCUGGAGGCUGCCAUCCCCUCACAGAGAUCUUGAAAGCAGAAAUGGUAAGACACGGACAACAUCAGAAGCCUCGCAACAGGGGACGCUCCCAGCAGAGGCAAAGAGGCAAAGGCAGGAGACAAAGAAGGAGGCAAAGGAGAAAGACAAGGACAAGAGCAGGCAAGAAAUACCAUUGCAGAAGACGAGUGUUUUACUGAGAUCCGGCCUCCUCUGCCAUACGUUGCAGCAUCAACUGCAUGACAAACAAUUCUGCUUUCUGGGAAGUCUGGAAUAGGAGCAGCCAGUUAACAUGCAAUAAACAGGCCUGGAUGCA